Oryza glaberrima (African rice) is the source of this 205-nucleotide non-coding RNA. NCBI's taxonomy places the organism in Eukaryota, Viridiplantae, Streptophyta, Magnoliopsida, Poales, Poaceae. The record is from Rfam.
AAUAGAUGACGCCGUUGACUUUUUCUCACAUGUUUGACCAUUCGUCUUAUUCAAAACAUUUACAUAAUUAUAAUUUAUUUUGUUAUGAGUUGUUUUAUCACUCAUAGUAUUUUAAGUGUGAUUUAUAUCUUAUACAUUUGCAUAAAUUUUUUGAAUAAGAUGAAUGGUCAAACAUAUAAGAAAAAAAUUAACAGUGUCAUCUAUU